This 293-nucleotide ribosomal RNA is filed under the name uncultured eukaryote. RNAcentral describes it as "partial 18S ribosomal RNA". It matches the Rfam family "Eukaryotic small subunit ribosomal RNA", at positions 6 to 227 of the family's 1831-position model. The record is from RNAcentral.
GGUUGAUCCUGCCAGUAGUCAUAUGCUUGUCUCAAAGAUUAAGCCAUGCAUGUCUAAGUAUAAACCGCUUGGCCGCAAGGUCAAAACGGGUGAAACUGCGAAUGGCUCAUUAAAUCAGCAAUCGUUUACUUGAUUGUGUGCUAUUAUGGAGUUGGCUGAGGGGUUCGCCUUUUAGUCAAAGCUAUUAUGGCUGUAUGGAUAACCGUGGUAAUUCAAGAGCUAAUACAUUAUUAACAAGAGGUUAACUUUUCGCAAGAGAGGAAGGCCUGCAUUUAUUAGAUACAAUUGCAAAA